Molecule: long non-coding RNA, 640 nt
Organism: Cynoglossus semilaevis (tongue sole)
Lineage: Eukaryota; Metazoa; Chordata; Actinopteri; Pleuronectiformes; Cynoglossidae
Exons: 3
Source: RefSeq, a predicted model, not a curated record
UUUUCGCAUGGUUUUAAUUGCUUAUGGCAUUUUGUGUACUUUGUAGACUUUGUCAGCGGAAGCAAGCCACGUUGCCUUCAGUUUAGUGUCGGAGAACCGCAGCCUUCUUUACAACGCAUUAAAAUGCACCGUCUCACUUUGUGAACGCCAGGUCUUCCUGAAUUGGUGCUGAGACAUUUAUGAGCAUUGUCAACAACCACAUCACUUCCUUCACAUCUGCCAUCUGCCUGAUGUUUGGCAGUUACUACUGCUUCAACAUACAUUACCUGGUGGAACUACAGUCCACACUUGAGUUCCUCCAACGGUGUUUCCUUUCAAUAAAUCCUGGAAGAAGAGUAAAAAAAGUGUUAUUGGUCAAUCCCACAGUCUUGACACUGAUCUCAUAUCUUGCCAACCAUGAGUGGACCUACCAGUGAUGUUGAGGGAUGAUGUGAUAAAAGGUACGUUUGAUAUGAUAUACACUGUAGAUAUUUUGUUGUUAAGGGUGUGUACCUGUAUUAAAUCUGUCCACUCAUUUUGCUCACUGCAAUCAUUUUAAAAAGAAACAAACUAAUUUUGUUCUCACCCUUUCUCUCUCUCUCUUUCUCUCUCUCUCUUCUCAUUUCGUUUCUUCUGAUCUACAGAGACACCAAAGUUGAGU